CCUACGGGAGGCAGCAGUCGGGAAUAUUGGACAAUGGAGGAAACUCUGAUCCAGCAAUGCCGCGUGUGUGAUGAAGGCCUUAGGGUUGUAAAGCACUUUCAACGGUGAAGAUGAUGACGGUAGCCGUAGAAGAAGCCCCGGCUAACUUCGUGCCAGCAGCCGCGGUAAUACGAAGGGGGCAAGCGUUGUUCGGAAUUAUUGGGCGUAAAGGGCGCGCAGGCUGUUUGGAUAGUUAGACGUGAAAGCCCUGGGCUUAACCUAGGAACUGCGUUUAAUACUGCCAAACUAGAGAACUAGAGAGGAUAGCGGAACUCCCAGUGUAGAGGUGAAAUUCGUAGAUAUUGGGAAGAACAUCAGUGGCGAAAGCGGCUGUCUGGCUAGUUUCUGACGCUGAGGCGCGAAAGCGUGGGGAGCAAACAGGAUUAGAUACCCUGGUAGUCCACGCCGUAAACGAUGUGUGCUAGAUGUUGGAAGGUUACCUUGCAGUGUCGCAGCUAACGCGUUAAGCACACCGCCUGGGAAGUACGGUCGCAAGAUUAAAACUCAAAGGAAUUGACGG
RNAcentral lists this ribosomal RNA (559 nucleotides) under uncultured bacterium. RNAcentral's name for it is "bacterial SSU rRNA". It matches the Rfam family "Bacterial small subunit ribosomal RNA", at positions 338 to 916 of the family's 1533-position model. The record is from RNAcentral.